UCCCGGGAGGCCUGGAGCAGCGGGCCAUGGAGUGAGAGAGCCUCUCCUGGGUUUGACGUGUGGUGGACACUGAGCUCACUCACCCCCACCUUCCUCUUGGGGGCACCAAACCACAGCCUCAAACAUACUUGAGGAACUUCUGAGUCAGCAGGAGGCGACCGUGAUAGAAGGGCACAUGGUCAGACUGUGGGAAAGAAUGGGGAGCAUCACCACACCAUUCUAAGAGCUUUCCUGGCCCUGCCGACAUGGCAGCCUGCGCAUAAACAUGGCAAAAGCGACCCCAAGUGCUCCCUGCAUAUCUGCAGAGUGAUAGACAACAGCCCAGCUCAGACCCGGCCCCGACUGACCCUGCACGAGCGUCAAAGUGGCAGCCACAGGUGACAAGUGUGUGUCCAGCAUGACUGGCUGUGCCCUCUCCUCCCAUGACCUCAUUUAAUCCUAGGUGUCGGGCAGUGGGCACUGUUAUCCACCCCCUCUCAACCAAGAUGGAGGGGUGGGAUCCAAAGACAUAACAGGACUCACCUA
Lutra lutra (Eurasian river otter) is the source of this 525-nucleotide long non-coding RNA. RefSeq lists it as uncharacterized. The transcript has 4 exons. The record is from RefSeq and is a predicted model, not a curated record. Lineage: Eukaryota; Metazoa; Chordata; Mammalia; Carnivora; Mustelidae.